AUUAGAGACAGCUGUCAAUCUUCCAUGGAGUGGACAUCCCAAAGGUCAAACUGCGCAAUGCUCGGAAAAAGUACAAAAAAAAUCCAAGAGUGACAUCUGAGAUUCUGCAGACCUCAUUUAGCAUGUUACAUGUCAAAGUUUAUAAAAGUACAAUUAGAAACAAACCAACCAAGCAUAGAUCAUUUGUAAAGAUUGCCGGGAGAAAAACCUCUCUUUAAAACUGGGUUACUAUAGUUGUUUUUAAUUCAGUUUAGUUUUCAUUGGUUUCCGGAGUGGAUUUGCUCAUUUCAGUUUGCAUGAAAAUGUUUAGUUUUAGUUUAAUUAUUAUAGUAGGGAUGGGCAAGAUCUGAGGCAAGAUUUAGGAAAAUCUUGCCACAGUCUUGUAGAUAUUCAAAGUCCCAAUAAGCAUGUUCAUCAAAGCCUCAUCAGGUAAGCUGAAAAACCAAAUUUUGCCAAAGUAGCUAAUACUAAAACUAAUAUUUCCUCUCCAUUUUUUUUAAAUUUUCUUUUAGUUUAGUGGUCAGUUAGUUCUACUUAAUUUUUUGACAUUCAAUUUUCUAUUUUUAUUUUAGCAAACAAUUUUUUUUUGUUUCAUAUCUAGUUUUUGUUUUUAGUUUAGUUUUAGUUAACUGUAAAGAACAUGACUGCAUGACUUAGGUAAUCAAAGUUACAUCUGUGAUGUCCGUGAACUUCUCCAUAUAUCGGUGAAUUCAAACCUCAAUAACGUGAAGCAAGGGAGAGCUGCACUGUAAAGGAGAGCUGGCCUAAAUUCCUUCACAGUGAUAUGUGAAUGUGAUGAAGGAAUACAGAAAACGAUUACUGGAAGUUAUUGCUGCUAAAGGUUGUUCUACAAGCAAGGAUCAUGGAGUGUUUUUAAUUUUUCCACACACUGCUUCUGGAUUUGACUUAGUAUAUGUGAAGUAAAUAAUUACAUGUUUUAUGUCAUGUUUUGUAGAUCAUCUGAGACUAUAUUUACCUAAUUUUAGAAUUUGCUCAGGAUCAGGUUGAUUUGAUCAUGUGCUGAUAUGUAAAACCUCAGAGCUGACAUAGGAUUGUCAAUUUAACAAUGAUUACAGAUUCUUCAUUUUAGGAUGAUGAUAAUUUUGAGUUCACUAGUUUUCAGGUCAAAGAAAUUUCAAAUUAAAGAAAAUAACGAACAUUAAAUCACUAUUUAAA
Astatotilapia calliptera (eastern happy) is the source of this 1176-nucleotide long non-coding RNA. The record is from Ensembl. NCBI's taxonomy places the organism in Eukaryota, Metazoa, Chordata, Actinopteri, Cichliformes, Cichlidae.